Molecule: ribosomal RNA, 495 nt
Filed under: uncultured bacterium
Lineage: Bacteria
Description: partial 16S ribosomal RNA
Rfam family: Bacterial small subunit ribosomal RNA
Source: RNAcentral
GACGAACGCUGGCGGCGUGCCUAAUACAUGCAAGUAGAACGCUGAAGGAGGAGCUUGCUUCUCUGGAUGAGUUGCGAACGGGUGAGUAACGCGUAGGUAACCUGCCUGGUAGCGGGGGAUAACUAUUGGAAACGAUAGCUAAUACCGCAUAAGAGUAGAUGUUGCAUGACAUUUGCUUAAAAGGUGCAAUUGCAUCACUACCAGAUGGACCUGCGUUGUAUUAGCUAGUUGGUGGGGUAACGGCUCACCAAGGCGACGAUACAUAGCCGACCUGAGAGGGUGAUCGGCCACACUGGGACUGAGACACGGCCCAGACUCCUACGGGAGGCAGCAGUAGGGAAUCUUCGGCAAUGGACGGAAGUCUGACCGAGCAACGCCGCGUGAGUGAAGAAGGUUUUCGGAUCGGAAAGCUCUGUUGUAAGAGAAGAACGAGCGUGAGAGUGGAAAGUUCACACUGUGACGGUAUCUUACCAGAAAGGGACGGCUAACUACGUG